CGGUAAUUAGCGCAGCCUGGUAGCGCAUCUGGUUUGGGACCAGAGGGUCGCAGGUUCGAACCCUGCAUUACCGACCA
RNAcentral lists this transfer RNA (77 nucleotides) under Succinivibrio dextrinosolvens. RNAcentral's name for it is "tRNA_Pro_TGG". It matches the Rfam family "tRNA". Rfam says of the family: Transfer RNA (tRNA) molecules are approximately 80 nucleotides in length. Their secondary structure includes four short double-helical elements and three loops (D, anti-codon, and T loops). The record is from RNAcentral. Lineage: Bacteria; Pseudomonadati; Pseudomonadota; Gammaproteobacteria; Aeromonadales; Succinivibrionaceae.